GGUACUAUGGCCGAGCGGUCUAAGGCGCAAGAUUCAAGCUUCCAUGAUAGCUUGCACCCCCACUUCGAGGGUGUUGACCCCAUCCCCCUAACCCCCUCCCCUUGUUCAUCUCCGGUUCGAGUCCGGAUGGUACCA
Molecule: non-coding RNA, 135 nt
Organism: Violaceomyces palustris
Lineage: Eukaryota; Fungi; Basidiomycota; Ustilaginomycetes; Violaceomycetales; Violaceomycetaceae
Source: the annotation of a GenBank genome assembly